This 847-nucleotide unclassified non-coding RNA is filed under the name Hevea brasiliensis (rubber tree). Lineage: Eukaryota; Viridiplantae; Streptophyta; Magnoliopsida; Malpighiales; Euphorbiaceae. The record is from RNAcentral.
GAAUCCCAGAGUAUAUAAAGAUAAAAGUUCACCAACAAACAGACCACCUCCAUAAUUUGAAAAUGAUACAGAACAGCAAAAUAGACGAUAGCCUCAAAUUAAACUGACACCACAGUUAUAUCGAAAUCAUAUCACGUGAAAAAAGAGAUUAUGAAGUAGUAGAGUCAUGCCAUAAUUCUUCAGAGUCCAAAUCCGAAGAUCGCCCGGAUCUUAUGGAAGAUCAACUCCCUCCAUCCUCUUUCAGUGUUCUCCACCACAGUUCCAUUACCAUACUUGUCCUCCACCGGUAUAUCAGUCUGCACCAGCUUCACAACCGUAACCCCCGACUCCGGCUCAUCAAAUGUCAGCCUCACCGUCGAGUAAACCCCAUCCGGCCAACUCCCGAACCUCCACUUCUGCACAAUCAGCUUCCCCUCCUGCAACUCCUCAUUCACCCCAGUAACCGAUCCGUCAAAAAUACUAAACUCCCCGCCAACCUCUUUACUAAUCCUCGCAUUACUCUGUGUAAACCCCUUCCAUCUCUUAUCAUCCAUCAGGAUCUCAUACAUGUUCCCCGGCCGGCAGUUGAACUUCUCUGUCAUUGUGAUCGUCUUAAACCCCUCCUUGGAUUUCGCCUUCUUCACCGCUGUCGGAGCAGGAGGGGAGGCAGCUGCAGCGGCAGCAAGAGCAGGCUUGGCGGCGGGCUUCUUGACCUCUAAGUCAUCCUUGGCAGGUCCGCCGUUGGACAUCGCCUGGACAUAGGCCCGGAUCUUUUCAAGGAUUAUCGGCUUGCCCUUCGCCAUGAAUGCCUCCUUGAUCCGAUUGCCGACAGGACCGGCAUCCUCACGGAGGGAGAUGCGGAGCUCAG